CAUCAACUGGAAAAUGGCUUUCACUCCAAAACCCAAUGUGAACCAUACCAAACUGUUGCCUCGGCGGGGUCACGCCCCGGGUGCGUCCCAGCCCCGGAACCAGGCGCCCGCCGGAGGGACCAACCAAACUCUUUCUGUAGUCCCCUCGCGGACGUUAUUUCUUACAGCUCUGAGCAAAAAUUCAAAAUGAAUCAAAACUUUCAACAACGGAUCUCUUGGUUCUGGCAUCGAUGAAGAACGCAGCGAAAUGCGAUAAGUAAUGUGAAUUGCAGAAUUCAGUGAAUCAUCGAAUCUUUGAACGCACAUUGCGCCCGCCAGUAUUCUGGCGGGCAUGCCUGUCCGAGCGUCAUUUCAACCCUCGAACCCCUCCGGGGGUCCGGCGUUGGGGAUCGGGAACCCCUAAGACGGGAUCCCGGCCCCGAAAUACAGUGGCGGUCUCGCCGCAGCCUCUCAUGCGCAGUAGUUUGCACAACUCGCACCGGGAGCGCGGCGCGUCCACGUCCGUAAAACACCCAACUUCUGAAAUGUUGACCUCGGAUCAGGUAGGAAUACCCGCUGAACUUAAGCAUAUCAAUAAGCGGAGGAA
RNAcentral lists this ribosomal RNA (586 nucleotides) under Trichoderma atroviride. Its description in RNAcentral is "eukaryotic LSU rRNA". The stretch from base 196 to 349 matches the Rfam family "5.8S ribosomal RNA". The record is from RNAcentral. Lineage: Eukaryota; Fungi; Ascomycota; Sordariomycetes; Hypocreales; Hypocreaceae.